UCAGUCGACUCCUACGGGGAGGCAGCAGUGGGGAAUAUUGCACAAUGGGGGAAACCCUGAUGCAGCCAUGCCGCGUGUGUGAAGAAGGCCUUCGGGGUUGUAAAGCACUUUCAGUAGGGAGGAAGGUAGUGUAGUUAACACCUGCAUUAUUUGACGUUACCUACAGAAGAAGCACCGGCUAACUCCGUGCCAGCAGCCGCGGUAAUACGGAGGGGUGCGAGCGUUAAUCGGAAUUACUGGGCGUAAAGCGCAUGCAGGCGGCCUGUUAAGUCAGAUGUGAAAGCCCGGGGCUUAACCUCGGAAUUGCAUUUGAAACUGGCAGGCUAGAGUCUUGUAGAGGGGGGUAGGAAUUUCAGGUGUAGCGGUGAAAUGCGUAGAGAUCUGAAGGAAUACCAGUGGCGAAGGCGGCCCCCUGGACAAAGACUGACGCUCAGAUGCGAAAGCGUGGGGAAAAGCAAACAGGAUUAGAUACCCUGGUAG
This 480-nucleotide ribosomal RNA is filed under the name uncultured bacterium. RNAcentral describes it as "bacterial SSU rRNA". It matches the Rfam family "Bacterial small subunit ribosomal RNA", at positions 328 to 793 of the family's 1533-position model. The record is from RNAcentral.